This 557-nucleotide ribosomal RNA is filed under the name Dehalococcoidia bacterium. RNAcentral describes it as "partial 23S ribosomal RNA". It matches the Rfam family "Bacterial large subunit ribosomal RNA", at positions 1 to 515 of the family's 2925-position model. Lineage: Bacteria; Bacillati; Chloroflexota; Dehalococcoidia. The record is from RNAcentral.
GACCGAGCGAGGAAGGGCGCACGGUGGAUGCCUUGGCACCAGGGGCCGAUGAAGGACGUGGAUGGCUGCGAAAAGCCACGGGGAGCCGCCAGCAGGCUUUGAUCCGUGGAUAUCCGAAUGGGGCAACCCCGCCAGAGUUAUGUCUGGCGACCCUCGGCUGAACACAUAGGCCGUGAGGAGGCAAGUCGGGGAACUGAAACAUCUCAGUACCCGGAAGAAAGGAAAUCAACGAGACUCCGUUAGUAGUGGUGAGCGAACGCGGACCAGCCCAAACCGGUGCAACUUAACGGGCGGCAGCCCUAUGUUGCACGCGGAGUUGGAGGACCCAGCUGGCCUACUGUCGUAGGGCCAGGGAGUGACAAAUCGGCUGCGUAGCUGAACGGUCUGGGAAGGCCGGCCAGAGAAGGUGAGAGCCCUGUACGCGAAACGUAACCGACUCCCGCUGGGCACCUGAGUACCACGGAGCACGUGAAAUUCCGUGGGAAUCUAGGGCGACCACGCUCUAAGGCUAAGUACCCCUGGUGACCGAUAGUGAACUAGUACCGUGAGGGAAAGGU